GAGGAUGAUCAGCCACACUGGAACUGAGACACGGUCCAGACUCCUACGGGAGGCAGCAGUGGGGAAUAUUGCACAAUGGAGGAAACUCUGAUGCAGCAACGCCGCGUGGAGGAUGACGCAUUUCGGUGUGUAAACUCCUUUUAUAUAGGAAGAUAAUGACGGUACUAUAUGAAUAAGCACCGGCUAACUCCGUGCCAGCAGCCGCGGUAAUACGGAGGGUGCAAGCGUUACUCGGAAUCACUGGGCGUAAAGCGCGCGCAGGCGGCCUUGUAAGUUGGAUGUGAAAGCCUACGGCUCAACCGUAGAACUGCAUCCAAAACUACUAGGCUAGAGUGUGGGAGAGGAAGAUGGAAUUAGUUGUGUAGGGGUAAAAUCCGUAGAGAUAACUAGGAAUACCAAAAGCGAAGGCAAUCUUCUGGAACAUUACUGACGCUGAGGCGCGAAAGCGUGGGGAGCAAACAGGAUUAGAUACCCUGGUAGUCCACGCCCUAAACGAUGAAUGUUAGUCGUCGGGUAGCUAGUCUAUUCGGUGAUGCAGCUAACGCAUUAAACAUUCCGCCUGGGGAGUACGGUCGCAAGAUUAAAACUCAAAGAAAUAGACGGGGACCCGCACAAGUGGUGGAGCAUGUGGUUUAAUUCGAAAAUACGCGAAGAACCUUACCUAGCCUUGACAUAUUUAAGAACACUUUAGAGAUAGAGUGGUGCCUUCGGGAGCUUUUAUACAGGUGCUGCACGGCUGUCGUCAGCUCGUGUCGUGAGAUGUUGGGUUAAGUCCCGCAACGAGCGCAACCCUCGUCACUAGUUACUAACGGUUCGGCCGAGGACUCUAGUGAGACUGCCUUCGCAAGGAGGAGGAAGGUGAGGACGACGUCAAGUCAUCAUGGCCCUUACGGCUAGGGCAACACACGUGCUACAAUGGCCAGGACAAUGAGACGCGAUACCGCGAGGUGGAGCAAAUCUAUAAACCUGGUCUCAGUUCGGAUUGUAGUCUGCAACUCGACUACAUGAAGCUGGAAUCACUAGUAAUCGUAGAUCAGCUAUGCUACGGUGAAUACGUUCCCGGGUCUUGUACUCACCGCCCGUCACACCAUGGGAGUUGAUUUCACCCGAAGCGGGGAAGCUAAACUGGCUACCCUCCACGGUGGAAUCAGCGACUGGGGUGAAGUCGUAACAAGGUAACCGUAGGAGAACCUGCGGUUG
RNAcentral lists this ribosomal RNA (1200 nucleotides) under metagenome. Its description in RNAcentral is "bacterial SSU rRNA". It matches the Rfam family "Bacterial small subunit ribosomal RNA", at positions 296 to 1520 of the family's 1533-position model. The record is from RNAcentral.